RNAcentral lists this ribosomal RNA (471 nucleotides) under uncultured bacterium. Its description in RNAcentral is "bacterial SSU rRNA". It matches the Rfam family "Bacterial small subunit ribosomal RNA", at positions 28 to 500 of the family's 1533-position model. The record is from RNAcentral.
GAUGAACGCUGGCGGCGUGCUUAACACAUGCAAGUCGAACGGGAAUUACUUUAUUGAAACUUCGGUCGAUUUAAUUUAAUUCUAGUGGCGGACGGGUGAGUAACGCGUGGGUAACCUGCCUUAUACAGGGGGAUAACAGUCAGAAAUGGCUGCUAAUACCGCAUAAGCGCACAGAGCUGCAUGGCUCAGUGUGAAAAACUCCGGUGGUAUAAGAUGGACCCGCGUUGGAUUAGCUUGUUGGUGGGGUAACGGCCCACCAAGGCGACGAUCCAUAGCCGGCCUGAGAGGGUGAACGGCCACAUUGGGACUGAGACACGGCCCAGACUCCUACGGGAGGCAGCAGUGGGGAAUAUUGCACAAUGGGGGAAACCCUGAUGCAGCGACGCCGCGUGAAGGAAGAAGUAUCUCGGUAUGUAAACUUCUAUCAGCAGGGAAGAUAGUGACGGUACCUGACUAAGAAGCCCCGGCUAA